Molecule: ribosomal RNA, 498 nt
Filed under: uncultured bacterium
Lineage: Bacteria
Description: partial 16S ribosomal RNA
Rfam family: Bacterial small subunit ribosomal RNA
Source: RNAcentral
ACUCAAAGGAAUUGACGGGGGCCCGCACAAGCGGCGGAGCAUGCGGAUUAAUUCGAUGCAACGCGAAGAACCUUACCAAGGCUUGACAUAUACCGGAAACUUCCAGAGAUGGUUGCCCCCUUUGGGUCGGUAUACAGGUGGUGCAUGGUUGUCGUCAGCUCGUGUCGUGAGAUGUUGGGUUAAGUCCCGCAACGAGCGCAACCCUCGUUCUAUGUUGCCAGCACGUAAUGGUGGGGACUCAUGGAAGACUGCCGGGGUCAACUCGGAGGAAGGUGGGGAUGACGUCAAAUCAUCAUGCCCCUUAUGUCUUGGGCUUCACGCAUGCUACAAUGGCCGGUACAAAGGGCUGCGAUACCGCAAGGUGGAGCGAAUCCCAAAAAACCGGUCUCAGUUCGGAUUGGGGUCUGCAACUCGACCCCAUGAAGUCGGAGUCGCUAGUAAUCGCAGAUCAGCAACGCUGCGGUGAAUACGUUCCCGGGCCUUGCACACACCGCCCGU